This 497-nucleotide ribosomal RNA is filed under the name uncultured bacterium. RNAcentral describes it as "partial 16S ribosomal RNA". It matches the Rfam family "Bacterial small subunit ribosomal RNA", at positions 28 to 507 of the family's 1533-position model. The record is from RNAcentral.
GACGAACGCUGGCGGCGUGCCUAAUACAUGCAAGUUGAGCGCUGAAGGUUGGUACUUGUACCAACUGGAUGAGCAGCGAACGGGUGAGUAACGCGUGGGGAAUCUGCCUUUGAGCGGGGGACAACAUUUGGAAACGAAUGCUAAUACCGCAUAAAAACUUUAAACACAAGUUUUAAGUUUGAAAGAUGCAAUUGCAUCACUCAAAGAUGAUCCCGCGUUGUAUUAGCUAGUCGGUGAGGUAAAGGCUCACCAAGGCGAUGAUACAUAGCCGACCUGAGAGGGUGAUCGGCCACAUGGGGACUGAGACACGGCCCAAACGCCUACGGGAGGAAGCAGUAGGGAAGCUGCGGCAAGGGACGAAAGUCUGACCGAGCAACGCCGCGUGAGUGAAGAAGGGUGUCGGAUCGUAAAACUCUGUUGGUAGAGAAGAACGUUGGUGAGGGUGGAAAGCUCAUCAAGAGACGGUAACUACCCAGAAAGGGACGGCUAACUACGUG